RNAcentral lists this ribosomal RNA (464 nucleotides) under uncultured bacterium. RNAcentral's name for it is "partial 16S ribosomal RNA". It matches the Rfam family "Bacterial small subunit ribosomal RNA", at positions 339 to 795 of the family's 1533-position model. The record is from RNAcentral.
CUACGGGUGGCUGCAGUGGGGAAUAUUGCACAAUGGGCGCAAGCCUGAUGCAGCCAUGCCGCGUGUAUGAAGAAGGCCUUCGGGUUGUAAAGUACUUUCAGCGGGGAGGAAGGGAGUAAAGUUAAUACCUUUGCUCAUUGAUGUUACCCGCAGAAGAAGCACCGGCUAACUCCGUGCCAGCAGCCGCGGUAAUACGGAGGGUGCAAGCGUUAAUCGGAAUUACUGGGCGUAAAGCGCACGCAGGCGGUUUGUUAAGUCAGAUGUGAAAUCCCCGGGCUCAACCUGGGAACUGCAUCUGAUACUGGAAAGCUUGAGGCUCGUAGAGGGGGGUAGAAUUGCAGGUGUAGCGGUGAAAUGCGUAGAGAUCUGGAGGAAUACCGGUGGCGAAGGCGGCCCCCUGGACGAAGACUGACGCUCAGGUGCGAAAGCGUGGGGAGCAAACAGGAUUAGAUACCCUUGUAGUC